This 497-nucleotide ribosomal RNA is filed under the name uncultured bacterium. RNAcentral describes it as "bacterial SSU rRNA". It matches the Rfam family "Bacterial small subunit ribosomal RNA", at positions 8 to 496 of the family's 1533-position model. The record is from RNAcentral.
AGAGUUUGAUCAUGGCUCAGAUUGAACGCUGGCGGCAGGCCUAACACAUGCAAGUCGAGCGGUAGCACAGAGAGCUUGCUCUCGGGUGACGAGCGGCGGACGGGUGAGUAAUGUCUGGGAAACUGCCUGAUGGAGGGGGAUAACUACUGGAAACGGUAGCUAAUACCGCAUAAUGUCGCAAGACCAAAGUGGGGGACCUUCGGGCCUCAUGCCAUCAGAUGUGCCCAGAUGGGAUUAGCUAGUAGGUGGGGUAACGGCUCACCUAGGCGACGAUCCCUAGCUGGUCUGAGAGGAUGACCAGCCACACUGGAACUGAGACACGGUCCAGACUCCUACGGGAGGCAGCAGUGGGGAAUAUUGCACAAUGGGCGCAAGCCUGAUGCAGCCAUGCCGCGUGUGUGAAGAAGGCCUUCGGGUUGUAAAGCACUUUCAGCGGGGAGGAAGGCGGUGAGGUUAAUAACCUCACCGAUUGACGUUACCCGCAGAAGAAGCACCGG